This 460-nucleotide ribosomal RNA is filed under the name uncultured bacterium. RNAcentral's name for it is "bacterial SSU rRNA". It matches the Rfam family "Bacterial small subunit ribosomal RNA", at positions 29 to 525 of the family's 1533-position model. The record is from RNAcentral.
ACGAACGCUGGCGGCAGGCCUAACACAUGCAAGUCGAACGAGAAGCCACCUUCGGGUGGUGGACAGUGGCAGACGGGUGAGUAACGCGUGGGAACGUGCCUUUCGGUUCGGGACAACCCAGGGAAACUUGGGCUAAUACCGGAUACGCCCUUCGGGGGAAAGAUUCAUUGCCGAAAGAUCGGCCCGCGUCGGAUUAGCUAGUUGGUGGGGUAAAAGCCUACCAAGGCGACGAUCCGUAGCUGGUCUGAGAGGAUGACCAGCCACACUGGGACUGAGACACGGCCCAGACUCCUACGGGAGGCAGCAGUGGGGAAUAUUGGACAAUGGGCGAAAGCCUGAUCCAGCCAUGCCGCGUGGGUGAAGAAGGCCCUAGGGUUGUAAACCCCUUUCAGCGGGGAAGAUAAUGACGGUACCCGCAGAAGAAGUCCCGGCUAACUCCGUGCCAGCAGCCGCGGUAAUU